This 346-nucleotide ribosomal RNA is filed under the name uncultured bacterium. RNAcentral describes it as "partial 16S ribosomal RNA". It matches the Rfam family "Bacterial small subunit ribosomal RNA", at positions 338 to 701 of the family's 1533-position model. The record is from RNAcentral.
CCUACGGGGGACAGCAGUGGGGAAUAUUGCACAAUGGGGGAAACCCUGAUGCAGCGACGCCGCGUGAGUGAAGAAGGAUUUCGGUAUGGAAAGCUCUAUCAGCAGGGAAGAGAAGGACGGUACCUGAGUAAGAAGCACCGGAUAACUACGGGCCAGCAGCCGCGGUAAUACGUAGGGGGCAAGCGUUAUACGGAUUUACUGGGUGUAAAGGGAGCGUAGACGGCGAAGAAAGUCUGAAGUGAAAGCCCGCGGCUCCACCGCGGAACUGCUUUUGAAACUUUUUUGCUGGAGUUCCGGAGAGGUACGCGGACUUCCUAUUGUAGCGGUGAAAUGCGUAGAUAUUAGG